CAGUCGCCGCGGUAAUACGUAGGGUGCAAGCGUUAAUCGGAAUUACUGGGCGUAAAGCGUGCGCAGGCGGUUAUAUAAGUCAGAUGUGAAAUCCCCGGGCUCAACCUGGGAACUGCAUUUGAGACUGUAUGGCUAGAGUGUGUCAGAGGGGGGUAGAAUUCCACGUGUAGCAGUGAAAUGCGUAGAUAUGUGGAGGAAUACCGACGGCGAAGGCAGCCCCCUGGGCCAAUACUGACGCCCAUGCACGAAAGCGUGGGGAGCAAACAGGAUUAGAUACCCCCGUAGUCCCUGUCUCUUAUAC
Molecule: ribosomal RNA, 301 nt
Filed under: uncultured bacterium
Lineage: Bacteria
Description: partial 16S ribosomal RNA
Rfam family: Bacterial small subunit ribosomal RNA
Source: RNAcentral